UUGAGGCAAUAACAGGUCUGUGAUGCCCUUAGAUGUUCUGGGCCGCACGCGCGCUACACUGAUACGUUCAACAAGUUCCUUGGCCGAAAGGUCUGGGUAAUCUUUGAAACCGUAUCGUGAUGGGGAUAGAACAUUGCAAUUAUUGUUCUUCAACGAGGAAUGCCUAGUAAGCGUGAGUCAUCAUCUCGCGUUGAUUACGUCCCUGCCCUUUGUACACACCGCCCGUCGCUCCUACCGAUUGAAUGUGCUGGUGAAGACUUCGGACCGGCUCCUUAGCUAGGCUUCCUAACUUCGGAGCUGGGAAGUUGUUUAAACCCUCCCAUUUAGAGGAAGGAGAAGUCGUAACAAGGUUUCCGUAGGUGAACCUGCGGAAGGAUCAUUG
RNAcentral lists this ribosomal RNA (382 nucleotides) under Gayralia kuroshiensis. RNAcentral describes it as "SSU rRNA". It matches the Rfam family "Eukaryotic small subunit ribosomal RNA", at positions 1445 to 1831 of the family's 1831-position model. Lineage: Eukaryota; Viridiplantae; Chlorophyta; Ulvophyceae; Ulotrichales; Gayraliaceae. The record is from RNAcentral.